UACGUAGGGUGCGAGCGUUAAUCGGAAUUACUGGGCGUAAAGCGUGCGCAGGCGGUUUUGUAAGCCAGAUGUGAAAUCCCCGGGCUUAACCUGGGAUUGGCAUUUGGGACUGCAAGGCUCGAGUGCGGCAGAGGAGACUGGAAUUCCUGGUGUAGCAGUGAAAUGCGUAGAUAUCAGGAGGAACACCGAUGGCGAAGGCAGGUCUCUGGGCUGACACUGACGCUCAUGCACGAAAGCGUGGGGAGCGAACGGG
RNAcentral lists this ribosomal RNA (253 nucleotides) under uncultured bacterium. RNAcentral describes it as "partial 16S ribosomal RNA". It matches the Rfam family "Bacterial small subunit ribosomal RNA", at positions 524 to 776 of the family's 1533-position model. The record is from RNAcentral.